This is an unclassified non-coding RNA of Pongo abelii (Sumatran orangutan), 148 nucleotides long. It matches the Rfam family "Metazoan signal recognition particle RNA". Rfam says of the family: The signal recognition particle (SRP) is a universally conserved ribonucleoprotein. The record is from Ensembl. Lineage: Eukaryota; Metazoa; Chordata; Mammalia; Primates; Hominidae.
GCCAGGCGUGGUGGUGCACGCCUGUAAUCCCAGCUACUCGGGAGGCUGAGGCAGGAGAAUCGCUUGAACCCAGGAGUUGGAGGCUGCAGUGAGCAAUGAUAGCGCCACUGCACUCCAGCCUGGGCGACAGAGUGAGACUCUGUCUCUA